GGUUCCAUGUCCGAGUGGUUAGGUACCGGUCUGCAAAACCGUCUACACCAGUUCGAAUCUGGUUGGAACCUCCA
This 74-nucleotide transfer RNA is filed under the name Muribaculaceae bacterium. RNAcentral describes it as "tRNA-Cys". It matches the Rfam family "tRNA". Rfam says of the family: Transfer RNA (tRNA) molecules are approximately 80 nucleotides in length. Lineage: Bacteria; Pseudomonadati; Bacteroidota; Bacteroidia; Bacteroidales; Muribaculaceae. The record is from RNAcentral.